Molecule: ribosomal RNA, 253 nt
Filed under: uncultured bacterium
Lineage: Bacteria
Description: partial 16S ribosomal RNA
Rfam family: Bacterial small subunit ribosomal RNA
Source: RNAcentral
UACGUAGGAAGCAAGCGUUGUCCGGAAUCACUGGGCGUAAAGCGCGUGUAGGCGGUAUGGCAAGUCUGCUGUGAAAGCUCUCGGCUUAACCGGGAGAGGUCGGUGGAAACUGCCACACUGGAGGACGGUAGAGGGGGGUGGAAUUCCCGGUGUAGCGGUGAAAUGCGCAGAUAUCGGGAGGAACACCAAUGGCGAAGGCAGCUCGCUGGGACGUGACUGACGCUGAGACGCGAAAGCGUGGGGAGCAAACAGG